UGAAAAGACCAAUACGGAUUGCACAGCCAACAACUAUGGUUUGCAUGCCCUGCCGAAGGACCCUAUCACGCGGAAUAGGUGGUUGGAGUUUAUUGCGGUCUCCAGUGGUGAUAAAGUGCACAGUUGGGUGCCAGACUGAUCCCCUGGUCAUGAAUGGACCUACCAAAAGGAGCAAAGCUUGUAAGGUAAGACCUCAGAAUAAAAGUUGUCAUGCGACACAAUUACUCUUGUGACACCUAUGUUGCCAUUCUCCCUCAACGAUGAAAAGGACACGCCAUCAUGAGGCCUCUGAUAGUGGCCGCGUUACUGGACUGAUGACACAGUCGGCUUCAACAACGACAGGGAAGUGCAUUAGCAAAAAGCUUUGUCCUUUCUUUAGAACAAAAUGCAAUGUACUACUUGGCUGUCUAUUAUAUCACCCUGUCACAGGCCCUCCCUGUCAACACAACCUCAUAAGAUUGCCUGCUACAGUUGUUCGAGAGCUGUCCAGUUUAUAGCCAAACAUGCAGCAUAGAGAAGACCAACAAGGGGGCCCUCAUCAGCAUCAUGCAGACAUGCCCUGGCUGUGAGCAUUCCUAUGAAUGGAACAGUCAAUCACAUGUUGGCAAGUAUCUGGUUAGCAACCUUCACCUAUCGGCGGCAACUGCUUUCACAGGGUCACCUUCUGUGCAAAUACAGAAGGUAACCUAUUUCAUUACUUUGAUAAAUUAUGUUUCACAAUUGGGUUAUCAAAUGUAUGUAAACUGAUAUUAUUUGUUGCUUAUUUUCUAAUUCUUAGAUGCAUGUAGUG
Molecule: long non-coding RNA, 790 nt
Organism: Salvelinus namaycush (lake trout)
Lineage: Eukaryota; Metazoa; Chordata; Actinopteri; Salmoniformes; Salmonidae
Exons: 3
Source: RefSeq, a predicted model, not a curated record